CGGAUUGCAGGCUGCAACUCGCCUGCAUGAAGUCGGAAUUGCUAGUAAUCGCAGAUCAGCAUGCUGCGGUGAAUACGUUCCCGGGCCUUGUACACACCGCCCGUCACACCAUGGGAGUUUGUAACGCCCAAAGUCGGUGGCCUAACCUUUAUGGAGGGAGCCGCCUAAGGCGGGACAGAUGACUGGGGUGAAGUCGUAACAAGGUAAC
RNAcentral lists this ribosomal RNA (208 nucleotides) under uncultured bacterium. RNAcentral describes it as "partial 16S ribosomal RNA". It matches the Rfam family "Bacterial small subunit ribosomal RNA", at positions 1294 to 1500 of the family's 1533-position model. The record is from RNAcentral.